This 427-nucleotide ribosomal RNA is filed under the name uncultured bacterium. RNAcentral's name for it is "bacterial SSU rRNA". It matches the Rfam family "Bacterial small subunit ribosomal RNA", at positions 355 to 774 of the family's 1533-position model. The record is from RNAcentral.
UGGGGAAUUUUGGACAAUGGGCGCAAGCCUGAUCCAGCCAUGCCGCGUGAGUGAAGAAGGCCUUCGGGUUGUAAAGCUCUUUCGGACGGGAAGAAAUGGCGGGCUCUAACAUAGCCUGUCGAUGACGGUACCGUAAGAAGAAGCACCGGCUAACUACGUGCCAGCAGCCGCGGUAAUACGGAGGGUGCGAGCGUUAUUCGGAAUUACUGGGCGUAAAGCGCGUGCAGGCGGGCGGGCAAGUCUGAUGUGAAAGCCCCGGGCUUAACCUGGGAAGGGCAUUGGAAACUGCUCGUCUUGAGUACUGGAGAGGAAGGGGGAAUUCCCGGUGUAGAGGUGAAAUGCGUAGAGAUCGGGAGGAAUACCAGUGGCGAAGGCGCCCUUCUGAACGGUAACUGACGCUGAGACGCGAAAGCGUGGGGAGCAAACA